CCUACGGGUGGCAGCAGUGGGGAAUAUUGCACAAUGGGGGAAACCCUGAUGCAGCGACGCCGCGUGAGUGAAGAAGUAUUUCGGUACGUAAAGCUCUAUCAGCAGGGAAGAAAAUGACGGUACCUGACUAAGAAGCCCCGGCUAACUACGUGCCAGCAGCCGCGGUAAUACGUAGGGGGCAAGCGUUAUCCGGAUUUACUGGGUGUAAAGGGAGCGUAGACGGCAGCGCAAGUCUGGAGUGAAAUCCCAUGGCUUAACCAUGGCACUGCUUUUGAAACUGUGCAGCUAGAGUGCAGGAGAGGUAAGCGGAAUUCCUAGUGUAGCGGUGAAAUGCGUAGAUAUUAGGAGGACCACCAGUGGCGAAGGCGGCUUACUGGACUGUAACUGACGUUGCGGCUCGAAAGCGUGGGGAGCAAACAGGAUUAGAUCCCCUUGUAGUC
This 440-nucleotide ribosomal RNA is filed under the name uncultured bacterium. RNAcentral's name for it is "partial 16S ribosomal RNA". It matches the Rfam family "Bacterial small subunit ribosomal RNA", at positions 338 to 795 of the family's 1533-position model. The record is from RNAcentral.